This 1111-nucleotide long non-coding RNA is filed under the name Neodiprion pinetum (white pine sawfly). Its description in RNAcentral is "uncharacterized LOC124221332". Lineage: Eukaryota; Metazoa; Arthropoda; Insecta; Hymenoptera; Diprionidae. The record is from RNAcentral.
UCCACGAACCCGUAAUCCAGUGACUUUUCAAUCCCCAAUCAGAGGCGUUCCGGACAUUCCGUUCCGUGCGCACUACCAGUAUUUGCGAACUGUCAAACAAAUCUCUGUAUCUGUGUGUGUGCGGUUGCGUAACAAAAGACAAAAAUGAAUUCGUCAGGUCCUCCUGUGAAAUAUGGAUACUGUGGCUGACUAAUACAAGGUUGUCCAAACAUCCUACAACACAUAUGCUUGUGUGAGUAAUACGAUUCCGUCUUUGUCAGCGUCGGGUGUCCCUGACACGGAAUGCACAGGCCCGGAAGUGCCGACACCCAAUCACAGUAGCGCAUUUCAAAUUCAGCGCUAAAAGGACCGAUCGCAAUUUGCCGGCGAUCGUUUCGUGCGUGUCAUUUCCGUAUCAUGAGACAGUACGAAAAAUGCAUCCCGUAAAUCAGUGGAGCGGGAACGCCUCUGAUUGGGGCUUGAAAAGUCACUGGAUUCCGGGUUCGUGGAGACGGAACAAAUUCCGGACCAUGGGACGGCAGCUUGAGGGUUCGCGGCUGCUCUUGGUAUUGCAGUUUCUCGAUCCCGCUCGAUGAGCAUGGUAGGACAAAGCGCAACUUCCUAGUAUGGGAUUUUCUUACCGACGAUCAAUAAUUAGACGAUGAAAACGAUGGUAACGGUGCUAAUGUAGAGCAUAUUUUAUUCGACGAGGGUGGGGGUAACCUUCAAAGGCUUGCGCCUGAGAAAGGCUUUGCUGGUAAGUCCGAUUCUUUCACGUUACUGCCGCGCUUUACAGCAUUUUUAUGGGCGCACGCGCUUGAUUACGACAAGAAACCGAGGGGUUAGGACGCCUCUCAUGUCAUUCUAACGAACGGGAAAUCCAGAUGCCGGCAACCCUCCAACCGCUGAUGGACCAACACUGUGGCGAAACAAAGAAACGAAAAAAUCUUGUUAGUCCCGCCUAAUGAAAGGACGAGCAAUUAACUUGUCUCAAUUAAUGGAUCAACUUCUGUUAUAUGUGACCUACCUAUUUCAAUGCUGAAAACUAAGCAGUCUUAUCGUUUUCUGGAAUAAGAAACAUAAUUGAUAAUCCAAUAAUACAAAACUAACAAUAAGAUGAACAUAAUAUGCA